UUUGUAUAUAUUUUAGCUCUUUAAUUCUCACAGCAAAUCAAAGUAACUUGUUCACGGUCCCACAGUUAGCAAGUGUCUGAGCUAGUAUUUGAACUCAAAUAUGUCUGGCUUGAGUCCAUACUUUUGAUGGCUUCUCUGACAAUAAUUGAAUAAUAUAGUGUAUAAUAGAAUACCUACCAUUUAUUGAGGAUUUACCCUGUGCCAGAUACUAUAGUGACUGCUUUACACCAGCAUCUAAUUUAGUCAAACUCAUUCAGUCCUGUAACCUGUAAAGUAAAUGCCU
This 283-nucleotide long non-coding RNA is filed under the name Homo sapiens (human). RNAcentral describes it as "non-protein coding lnc-ANKRD33-7:1". The record is from RNAcentral. Lineage: Eukaryota; Metazoa; Chordata; Mammalia; Primates; Hominidae.